CGCGGGGGUAUAACAGCGGCGCGCGUGGCUCGCAGACCGGGGAGACGGGCGGGCGCACAGCCGGCGCGGACGCCCCACAGCCCCGCCGGGACCCGAGGCCAGGCGAGGGGCUGCCAGUGUCCCGGGACCCACCGCGUCCGCCCCAGCCCCGGGUCCCCGCGCCGACCCCAUGGCGGCCGACGCGGCGCUACGCCGGUUCCUGAGGCUGCACCGCACGGAGAUCGCGGUGGCCGUGGACAGCGCCUUCCCACUGCUGCACGCGCUGGCCGACCACGACGUGGUCCCCGAGGACAAGUUCCAGGAGACGCUUCAUCUGAAGGAAAAGGAGGGCUGCCCCCAGGCCUUCCACGCCCUCCUGUCCUGGCUGCUGACCCAGGACUCCACAGCCAUCCUGGACUUCUGGAGGGUGCUGUUCAAGGACUACAACCUGGAGCGCUAUGGCCGGCUGCAGCCCAUCCUGGACAGCUUCCCCAAAGAUGUGGACCUCAGCCAUCCCCGGAAGGGGAGGAAGCCCCCGGCCGUCCCCAAGGCUUUGGUACUGUCACCCAGACCCCCCACCAAGAGGAAGGCCUCAGAAGAGGCUCGAGCUGCGGCGCCAGCAGCCCUGUCUCCAAGGGGCACCUCCAGCCCAGGUACCCUCCCUGCAGGGGAAGCCAGCCGGGGUCUCCAGUCUUCCCCGGGAGCCCACGCCCCCUCCCCACCUGGACUCCCACCCACUGGGCAUGGAGCCAGCCUGCCUGGGGCUGUGGGGGUCUCCUCUGGGUACUAGACCAACACACUGGACCAGCCUCUCAGCUCCCUCCUGCCCGAAGGCUGAGCUCCCCAGGGCUGGCGAAGUAGGCAGGCGGGUUUCAUUUCCCUUUUACUGAUGAGAAACCAGAGCCCGGCAAAAGGAAUACCCAGCACUGGACCCCCCCCCCACACCCUCCCACGCUGGCCCCUGCCCACCAGCACUCACCCCCACCGAGGGGGGAGGCCAGGCUGCCCCCAGCUCCCCCAUUCAGGCUCUCAACUGAAGGCCAAGCCCCCCAAGAAGCCGGAGAGCAGCGCAGAGCAGCAGCGCCUUCCGCUCGGGAACGGGAUUCAGACCAUGUCAGCUUCAGUCCAGAGAGCUGUGGCCGUGUCCUCUGGGGACGUCCCGGGAGCCCGAGGGGCCGUGGAGGGGAUCCUCAUCCAGCAGGUGUUUGAGUCAGGUAGACGCUGUGGUGGGGAGAUGGGGCUGAUGGGGAGACCCAGGCUCCAAGAUGGAAGGAGGACCAUGCCCCUUUGCAUCCUGGUGGUCCCACAGCAGACCGGGCUGUCGCUCAGGUAGCCAGAGUUUCUGCCUAUGGUUCUGCUGACUUUGGAGGAGGAGGGUGGGUGCUGAAAUCUCCCUGUCGGGGGACCUUCUGCAAGGCCGGCGGUCCAGGCCCACAUCCCCGCCCAGGAUGUGCAGCACUCCCCAGUCACCUCCAUCCAUGUGCAUGGGCCCUCCUGGGCCAUGGGGUUGCAUCCUUAGAAAGUUCUGCCUGUGCUGCUGAGACCCUCCAGGGUAUCGGCAUUCUUCAACCAGGACAGCCUGUAGCAUAGCGUCCUUGUCCCCCAUACCCUGGCCAGCCUGCAGCGUCCUCGCCCCCCAUACCCUGGCCAGCCGCUGACCCCAUGCAAUCACCAGUGCCAUCUGACCAGGGCACAGCAGGGCCGCGGGUGGCAGACCCACCGUGCCAUCGGGGCAUUCCAUCUAAAGUCCCUGCCACGGCGUCUCCUCGGUGCUGGACAUGGGCUGGGAACACCAAGCACAGCUAGGGCCCUGGUCUUGCACCUCUGGAUGGUCCCAAGGCCCACUGUGUUACUUCCUAAGGCUGUUGGAUCAAAUUGGCACAAACUGGGAGGCUUGAAAUGACAGAAAUGCCAACAUCGAGGUGUCUCGGGGCCACACUCCCUCUGGAGGCUCCGGGGAAGAAUCCUUCCUUGUCUCUCUCAGCUGCUGGUCAUUAUGGGGGUACCCCUGUGCCCCUUGUUCCUGGGCUCAGGACCCCACCGCUCCAGCCUCUGCUUCUGUGGUCUCAAAGCCGUCUCCCAUGUGUCCUCUUUAUAAGGACACCAGUCAUUGAACUUAUGGUCCAGUGUGACCUCAUCUUAACUAAUCACAUCUACAAAGACCCCAAUUUCAAGUAAGGUCACACUCUGAGGUUCUGGGUGGACGUGAACUUCGGGGGACACUGUUGAAAACCCUGGUGUAGACCCAGGACAAUCCCCGGGCCCCAGACUCGACUGGGGUUGGGGCGGGCUGGAGGAAUGCAUGCUGUGGGAACUCCACCUGUCUCUGCUAGACCCCAGCCCGGGGCCUACACAACUGCCAAGGCAGGUCCUGCUGGGCGGGUGAGCCAGGACCAGCCAGCAUCUCCUCCCAGGGGGCUCCAAGAAGUGUAUCCAGGUCGGCGGGGAGUUCUACACUCCCAGCAAGUUCGAAGACCCCGGCGGUGGGAAGAACAAGGCCCGCGGCAGCAGUGGCCCGAAGCCUCUGGUUCGAGCCAAGGGAGCCCAGGGCGCUGCCCCCGGUAGAGGUGAGGCUAGGCUGGGCCAGCAGGGCAGGGUUCCCGCCCCUCCGGCCCUCCCCAGUGACCCCCAGCUCCACCAGAACGAGGACGAGUGUGCCGUGUGCCGGGACGGCGGGGAGCUCAUCUGCUGUGACGGCUGCCCUCGGGCCUUCCAUCUGGCCUGCCUGUCCCCUCCGCUCCGGGAGAUCCCCAGUGGGACCUGGAGGUGCUCCAGCUGCCUGCAGGCAACAGUCCAGGAGGUGCAGCCCCGGGCAGAGGAGCCCCGGCCUCAGGAGCCACCCGUGGAGACCGCGCUCCCCCCGGGGCUUAGGUCCGUGGGAGAGGAGGUGAGAGGUCCACUUGGGGAACCCCUAGCCGGCAUGGACACGACUCUUGUCUACAAGCACCUGCCGGCCCCGCCUUCUGCAGCCCCGCUGCCAGGGCUGGACUCCUCGGCCCUGCACCCCCUACUGUGUGUGGGCCCUGAGGGGCAGCAGAACCCGGCUCCUGGUGCGCGUUGCGGGGUGUGUGGAGACGGUACGGACGUGCUGCGGUGUACUCACUGCGCUGCCGCCUUCCACUGGCGCUGCCACUUCCCAGCGGGCGCCUCCCAGCCCGGGACGGGCCUGCGCUGCAGAUCCUGCUCAGGAGACGUGACCCUGGCCCCUGUGGAGGGGGUGCUGGCCCCCAGCCCCGCCCACCUGGCCCCUGGGCCUGCCAAGGAUGACACUGCUAGUCACGAGCCCGCUCUGCACAGGGAGGACCUGGAGAGCCUUCUGAGCGAGCACACCUUCGACGGCAUCCUGCAGUGGGCCAUCCAGAGCAUGGCCCGCCCAGCUGCUCCCUUCCCCUCCUGACCCCGGACGGCCGGGACAUGCAGCUCUGAUGGGAGGGUGCCGAGAAGGACAUCUCCUUCCUCAGCCCUGGAAGCCGGCCGGCUGGGAUCAAGAAGGGGACAGCGCCACCUCUUGUCAGUCCUUGGCUGUAAACAGCCCUGUGUUUCUGGGGACACCAGCCAUCAUGUGCCUGGAAAUUAAAACCUGCCCCACCUCUCACUCUGGAAGUCCCCAGGGGCCUCUCCUUGCCUGGUGACCUACUAAAAAUAUAAAAAUUAGCUGGGUGUGGUGGUGGGUGCCUGUAAUCCCAGCUACACGGGAGCCUGAGGCAUGAGAAUCACUUGAACUCAGGAGGUGGAGGUUGCAGUGAGCUGAGAUUGCACCACUGCACUCCAGCCCGGUCGACAAGAGCGAGGCUCUGUCUCAAAAAAAACACACAAAAAAAUAACAUAAAUUUAUCAUCUUGACUUUUCAGUUCAGUGGCAUUCACAUCUCAUGUAACCAUCGCCACCACCAACUGCAGAGCUGUUCCAGCUUCCUGAACGGAAACUCUGGCCCCACGAAACACUCACUCCCCAUUCCCCUCCCAACCCCUGGCACCCUCCACUCUACUUUCUGUCUCUAUGACUUCUCCAGGGACCUCAUGGAAGUGGAAUCGCACAGCAUCUGUCCUUUUGUGUCUGUCUUAUUUUCCUCAGCACGGUGGCCCCAAGGUUCAUCCAUGUUGUAGCAUGCGCCGAGAUCUGCUUCCUUUUUAAGGCUGAGUCAUAUUCCAGCACGUGGAUCGACUGCAUUGUGUUCAUCUAUGCUUUCCUCAACGGACACACCUGGGUGCUUCCACCUUCUGGCUGCUGUGAAUAAUGCUGCUAUGAAUAUGUGUGUGCAAAUAUCUGUGUGAGUCUUUGAGUAAAAUCGCUGGAUCACAUGGUAA
RNAcentral lists this small RNA (4286 nucleotides) under Pongo abelii (Sumatran orangutan). Its description in RNAcentral is "retained intron". The record is from RNAcentral. Lineage: Eukaryota; Metazoa; Chordata; Mammalia; Primates; Hominidae.